CUUUCUUAUUCCUUUGGGUGCUUUUGUGAUAAAGAAGAUUAUGGUGACAACCUGUCCUUCUGCAGCCAAUACGUGCAGUGAGUUCAAAACAUUGAGCCUUUCAACCUGAUCUGUUCCCAUUAUCUUCAUUCUAAAGGAAGACAGUGAGUUGUUAGAGGUGAGGGCAGCUGACUCAGCGGCCUGGCAGGAGGGUUUGGUGUUGUGAUCUGCAGUGCCAGGCCUCUAUGGGAAGGGGCCAUGGCAUGGGAUGCUACACUAGGGAUGCUGAUAACUGGGGCCUGCUAGGGCUGUGGCUUUGUCUUGUGGUGAGAUGGGACUGGAUACAGAGGUAGGGCUGCUGCCUG
This 344-nucleotide long non-coding RNA is filed under the name Gallus gallus (chicken). Lineage: Eukaryota; Metazoa; Chordata; Aves; Galliformes; Phasianidae. The record is from RNAcentral.